CAAAGGCAUGGUCCUGACCUUAUUAUCAGCUCUAACUCAACUUACACAUGCAAGUAUCCGCACCCCCGUGAGUACGCCCUCGACCCCCCGCCCGGGGAUCAGGAGCGAGCAUCAGGCACAGAAAUCCUAGCCCAAGACGCCCAGCCAAGCCACACCCCCAAGGGAAUUCAGCAGUGAUAAACAUUAAGCCAUGAGUGAAAACUCGACUCAGUCAGGGUUAACAGGGCCGGUAAAACUCGUGCCAGCUACCGCGGUUAUACGGGAGGCCCCAGUAA
This 275-nucleotide ribosomal RNA is filed under the name Tanakia lanceolata. RNAcentral describes it as "partial 12S rRNA". Lineage: Eukaryota; Metazoa; Chordata; Actinopteri; Cypriniformes; Acheilognathidae. The record is from RNAcentral.